RNAcentral lists this unclassified non-coding RNA (232 nucleotides) under Hevea brasiliensis (rubber tree). Lineage: Eukaryota; Viridiplantae; Streptophyta; Magnoliopsida; Malpighiales; Euphorbiaceae. The record is from RNAcentral.
UAAAAAAAAAAAAAAAAAAAGAAUGUGGGUUAUUUAUGAUCAUUGAAAAGCUUAGACCUUUUCUCUUUUUCUUCUUGGAUUGGGGACUGGGGAAUGUAAAAAAUAAUUCUUUUUGGUAAUGCAAAAAAACCCUUGUAAUUUCGUGGCAAUGGAAGCUUCAAAAUCUCAAUUUGUUUUACUUCAUUUCUCAUCUAUCAUUUAAGAUUUAAGCCUUUAGUUUUUUUUUUUUAAG